RNAcentral lists this ribosomal RNA (532 nucleotides) under Lactobacillus delbrueckii subsp. bulgaricus. RNAcentral describes it as "partial 23S ribosomal RNA". It matches the Rfam family "Bacterial large subunit ribosomal RNA", at positions 1686 to 2227 of the family's 2925-position model. Lineage: Bacteria; Bacillati; Bacillota; Bacilli; Lactobacillales; Lactobacillaceae. The record is from RNAcentral.
GUGAGCGAGAGAACUCUCGUUAAGGAACUCGGCAAAAUGGCCCCGUAACUUCGGGAGAAGGGGCGCUGGUCGCAAGAUCAGCCGCAGUGAAAAGGCCCAAGCAACUGUUUAUCAAAAACACAGGCAUCUGCAAAAUCGUAAGAUGAAGUAUAGGUGCUGACACCUGCCCGGUGCUGGAAGGUUAAGAGGAGAGCUUAGCGCAAGCGAAGGUUUGAAUUGAAGCCCCAGUAAACGGCGGCCGUAACUAUAACGGUCCUAAGGUAGCGAAAUUCCUUGUCGGGUAAGUUCCGACCUGCACGAAAGGUGUAAUGAUUUGGGCACUGUCUCAACGAGAGACUCGGUGAAAUUAUAAUACCCGUGAAGAUGCGGGUUACCCGCGACAGGACGGAAAGACCCCAUGGAGCUUUACUGCAGUUUAAUAUUGGGUAUCUGUCAAGCAUGUACAGGAUAGGUAGGAGCCGGAGAAGAUAGGACGCCAGUCUUAUCAGAGGCGCUGUUGGGAUACUACCCUUGCUUGACGGAUGCUCUAACU